AGGGAAUCUUCGGCAAUGGACGGAAGUCUGACCGAGCAACGCCGCGUGAGUGAAGAAGGUUUUCGGAUCGUAAAGCUCUGUUGUAAGAGAAGAACGAGUGUGAGAGUGGAAAGUUCACACUGUGACGGUAUCUUACCAGAAAGGGACGGCUAACUACGUGCCAGCAGCCGCGGUAAUACGUAGGUCCCGAGCGUUGUCCGGAUUUAUUGGGCGUAAAGCGAGCGCAGGCGGUUAGAUAAGUCUGAAGUUAAAGGCUGUGGCUUAACCAUAGUACGCUUUGGAAACUGUUUAACUUGAGUGCAAGAGGGGAGAGUGGAAUUCCAUGUGUAGCGGUGAAAUGCGUAGAUAUAUGGAGGAACACCGGUGGCGAAAGCGGCUCUCUGGCUUGUAACUGACGCUGAGGCUCGAAAGCGUGGGGAGCAAACAGGAUUAGAUACCCUGGUAGUCCACGCUGUAAACGAUGAGUGCUAGGUGUUAGACCCUUUCCGGGGUUUAGUGCCGUAGCUAACGCAUUAAGCACUCCGCCUGGGGAGUACGACCGCAAGGUUG
Molecule: ribosomal RNA, 549 nt
Filed under: uncultured bacterium
Lineage: Bacteria
Description: bacterial SSU rRNA
Rfam family: Bacterial small subunit ribosomal RNA
Source: RNAcentral